RNAcentral lists this ribosomal RNA (313 nucleotides) under uncultured bacterium. Its description in RNAcentral is "bacterial SSU rRNA". It matches the Rfam family "Bacterial small subunit ribosomal RNA", at positions 28 to 334 of the family's 1533-position model. The record is from RNAcentral.
GAUGAACGCUAGCUACAGGCUUAACACAUGCAAGUCGAGGGGCAGCAUGACCUAGCAAUAGGUUGAUGGCGACCGGCGCACGGGUGAGUAACACGUAUCCAACCUGCCGUCUACUCUUGGCCAGCCUUCUGAAAGGAAGAUUAAUCCAGGAUGGGAUCAUGAGUUCACAUGUCCGCAUGAUUAAAGGUAUUUUCCGGUAGACGAUGGGGAUGCGUUCCAUUAGAUAGUAGGCGGGGUAACGGCCCACCUAGUCAACGAUGGAUAGGGGUUCUGAGAGGAAGGUCCCCCACAUUGGAACUGAGACACGGUCCAA